GGACCUGCUGAACCUGGGGCCCUAUAGGAGAGCACUGAUGGCCCACCCCUGAUUGUGGCCCUGGUCUUCAUGUCUGCAUCAGCCUCAGCCAUCUCAAGACCACAACGAGAACAUAGCAAAGUCAGAGAAGGAAGACCAAAAGCACCAGGGCCCUUCAUAUUAUUAAGCUGCUAAAUUAACUAAUCUUGGAAACUUCUAGACUCUACAAUUCUUGUUGUAUGAGAGUGGAUUGACAAUUAUUCUCUGGACUUUUUGGUAACCAAGAACUUCUAGCAACUAACCCUGGCAUGACCACCAGAAUCUGCAGGGCUGAGAGAAGAAAGAAAGGCAAAAGUGGAUGAAUGCAGCUGAAGAUGCUGUGGAACUCCUAUCACAUUCCAAGUGCUGUGUUGAUAUCUGGAGAUAUAGACAAGAUCGAAGCAGAUGCAGUCUUUCACAUGAAUAUUUGAAUCAGGUGAACAGGAGGGAUGAAGAACAGCAUUCUAGCACAGUACAAAACCAAACAUGAGCCAGGAGUGGGAGUAGAUGUGUGAAUAUGGUUGGAAGAGGACAUUAAGAAGGCCAAACUGACAGACCCAUGGAUUCAGACUAAGGAAGACUGGAAACUAAAUGUGGAUAAGAACAGCCAAACUAUUAAAAGACUUCGGCAGAUCAGCAAAGGAGAUUAUAAUUGAUUAAGUGGGAAAGCAAAAUGGAUUAAAUGUUUUUGAGGAGAUUGCCAUCAUAAUAAAAGUAGUGCUUUAGGAAGAUUCAUCUUGCAGCACAUGGAAGGUGGAAUAAAGGAAGUAAAUAACUUUAGGCCGGAAUACCUGCUGGCCAAUGUCAAUCUUUGACAAUGAGGUGAUAAGGUGAGGGCCAUAGUAUGAAGUGACAAAGAUAGUGAGAGAAAGGGGACCAAAUCAUAGAGGACAAAAACAACCGAUGGUGUGAAUUUGGGUAUGCGAGAAGGGAGAAAGUUAGUCAAAGCUAAUAAGACGCAAUGUGUACUAGAAAACUCCCUUUCCAGCAGGAGACUGGAGACAAAGGAAGC
Molecule: long non-coding RNA, 1030 nt
Filed under: Pan troglodytes (chimpanzee)
Lineage: Eukaryota; Metazoa; Chordata; Mammalia; Primates; Hominidae
Description: long non-coding RNA NONPTRT010796
Source: RNAcentral